UCCCCUGCGGCCGGGAGUUCUGAAGCCCAGGUUUAACAGAAACUCACAGACAUAACCUUCCUGGAAGAAGAAACAACCAAAACUUGAUGCGGCCGGCGGAGAAGAAAGAAGAGGCUUCGUGUGGAACGGCGAGGCAAGAGUGAGCGAGAAGAGGAGCGGCGUCGGGCUGAAGAGCGAGCGGGCAGGAGAAAGGCGCUCUGGGCAAAGGGACCUCCCUGUCAGCAGGGCGCGGUCACGUAAGAGCAUCGCGGGCACCUUUGGGGUGCCCCGGCUGGCUUUGCGCUGGGCGACCUCCCUGUAACCAGGGCUCGGUCUUUGCUUUUGUUGUCGUCGGCCUUUUGCCGUCGUGCUCCUUUGGCUGCCCGGAGAGAGCGGCGACCCUGUAAGGAGGGUGAGAGCCGCCGUCUCCGCACCCGAGGGGGAAGGGGAGCUGUCUGGACCCCGAGCCCACCCUGUAAGCAGGGGAGGGCCGUUUCCCUGGCCCCGGCGGCUUUCUGCCUGCUGGAGGCCUGCCCAGCGUGACGCCCUGGAGUCAGGGCGUGUCACGGCGUUUGCCCCUUGGCCACCUGUGGAAGCCCCUUGGCAUGUUGAGGCCCCUGUGGCCUCCGUGCAGCCCGGGGGGCAGGUCUGAGGCUCUCCUCUCCCGCUCGGCGGUAGGGUUGGCUCCCCAGACAUUGGCUGCACAGGGCUCGCUCUCCUUUCUAGGAAGUUCUGUUUGUCCCUGUUUGCGUGCGUCCGUGUCUGCGUCUGUGUGAGUGAGCAGCGAAUGAGCUUCUUGUUUAGGCCCCUGUUAAUAUUGCUGCAGCGUACUUAGCUUGAGCUUCCCAGGAGGGAAAGGGCGGCUCUGUGCAGCAACAGGGGGGUCCCCUCUGAGCCCGCGAGCGGAGGGAGAGUCCGGGCUUGCCCCUCCUUUCUAUAAGGACGGAGCGAAGCCGCUUAGCGGUAGAGCGGGCAACGCGACCUGCCUGUAGUCAGGGCCUGGGUCUCUGUGCCUGCGUGGCCGCCUGUCCUGCUGGUGGCCUGCUCGGCGUGACAGCCCUGUACUCGGGGCGUGUGUCACGAGCCGUGGAGCCCUCUUGUCCCCAGGAGCAGCCCGACCUCCCCGUAAGCGGGGCUGGGGGGGCCGCUCUAGCCAGCCCACAGGAACGAGCCCUCCCUCGCCCUUUAGCGGGCGCAGGUUGAGGAAGCGCUGCGCCGGAGGGCGCAGUCCCGCCUUUGGCGCUGCUUUUGGCUGGGGCGACCUCCCCGCGGUUGGGGUCGAGGUCGCUCCCUGGGCUCCUGAAGACGUGGCGUUGUGCUGCAGCCAGGCCGGCCGGCCCGUAAGUCGGGCGCAGGUGGGAGCCUCGGGCUCCGCGGGGCUUGUUGGGAGAGCCGAGCCGAGGGGGGCCGCCCUGUAAGCAGGGCUGUGCGUGUCCCCCGCGCUCGGCGGGAGGUGCUUGGAGGGACCCCCUGUAAUCAGGCGGGUAUCUCCUGGCCCCGGCCUUUCAGAGGCGCGGGGCCAGGAUGUGUGGGGGCCGGGCGUGCGCCCCCCCCGUCCUCGGGGCUGGGGCCGCGGCCCCCCGGCCUUUGGCCGUGAAGCUCCGCUGCCUGGCUGUCGAGUCUCGUUCCUGUGGCUGCGGGGGAAGGCCGAGCUCCCCGACUCCCUGGGUGUCGACCUGCCUGUAAGCAGGGUUCCGGGUCUGGGAGCCUUUGUGCUCAGCUGGCAGCCUGCGUGGGGUGACCGGCCCCGUUAGCGGGGUGCGGGUCGGGGUGCCCCUGAAUCGGAGAGAAGGAGCCUCCGUGGGCCUUUGGGACCAGGGCUGCCCUGUAAGUCAGGGCCCGGCCAGUGCCCUGCAGUCCCGGGCGCUUUGCGGUCCAGGCAGCGGCUCGAGCCCCCUGUAAGCAGGGACGCGGAGCCUCGUUGGCCGCUGCUUUGCAUGCCCAGCUUCGUUUGCCCAGGGUGCCCGCCUCCGAGCCCGGCUCCAGCACCGGCUGGAACUCUGGCCUGCGUCGCUUUGCGGCCGGCGGAGAAGAAAGAAGAGGCUUCGUGUGGAACGGCGAGGCAAGAGUGAGCGAGAAGAGGAGCGGCGUCGGGCUGAAGAGCGAGCGGGCAGGAGAAAGGCGCUCUGGGCAAAGGGACCUCCCUGUCAGCAGGGCGCGGUCACGUAAGAGCAUCGCGGGCACCUUUGGGGUGCCCCGGCUGGCUUUGCGCUGGGCGACCUCCCUGUAACCAGGGCUCGGUCUUUGCUUUUGUUGUCGUCGGCCUUUUGCCGUCGUGCUCCUUUGGCUGCCCGGAGAGAGCGGCGACCCUGUAAGGAGGGUGAGAGCCGCCGUCUCCGCACCCGAGGGGGAAGGGGAGCUGUCUGGACCCCGAGCCCACCCUGUAAGCAGGGGAGGGCCGUUUCCCUGGCCCCGGCGGCUUUCUGCCUGCUGGAGGCCUGCCCAGCGUGACGCCCUGGAGUCAGGGCGUGUCACGGCGUUUGCCCCUUGGCCACCUGUGGAAGCCCCUUGGCAUGUUGAGGCCCCUGUGGCCUCCGUGCAGCCCGGGGGGCAGGUCUGAGGCUCUCCUCUCCCGCUCGGCGGUAGGGUUGGCUCCCCAGACAUUGGCUGCACAGGGCUCGCUCUCCUUUCUAGGAAGUUCUGUUUGUCCCUGUUUGCGUGCGUCCGUGUCUGCGUCUGUGUGAGUGAGCAGCGAAUGAGCUUCUUGUUUAGGCCCCUGUUAAUAUUGCUGCAGCGUACUUAGCUUGAGCUUCCCAGGAGGGAAAGGGCGGCUCUGUGCAGCAACAGGGGGGUCCCCUCUGAGCCCGCGAGCGGAGGGAGAGUCCGGGCUUGCCCCUCCUUUCUAUAAGGACGGAGCGAAGCCGCUUAGCGGUAGAGCGGGCAACGCGACCUGCCUGUAGUCAGGGCCUGGGUCUCUGUGCCUGCGUGGCCGCCUGUCCUGCUGGUGGCCUGCUCGGCGUGACAGCCCUGUACUCGGGGCGUGUGUCACGAGCCGUGGAGCCCUCUUGUCCCCAGGAGCAGCCCGACCUCCCCGUAAGCGGGGCUGGGGGGGCCGCUCUAGCCAGCCCACAGGAACGAGCCCUCCCUCGCCCUUUAGCGGGCGCAGGUUGAGGAAGCGCUGCGCCGGAGGGCGCAGUCCCGCCUUUGGCGCUGCUUUUGGCUGGGGCGACCUCCCCGCGGUUGGGGUCGAGGUCGCUCCCUGGGCUCCUGAAGACGUGGCGUUGUGCUGCAGCCAGGCCGGCCGGCCCGUAAGUCGGGCGCAGGUGGGAGCCUCGGGCUCCGCGGGGCUUGUUGGGAGAGCCGAGCCGAGGGGGGCCGCCCUGUAAGCAGGGCUGUGCGUGUCCCCCGCGCUCGGCGGGAGGUGCUUGGAGGGACCCCCUGUAAUCAGGCGGGUAUCUCCUGGCCCCGGCCUUUCAGAGGCGCGGGGCCAGGAUGCGUGGGGGCCGGGCGUGCGCCCCCCCCGUCCUCGGGGCUGGGGCCGCGGCCCCCCGGCCUUUGGCCGUGAAGCUCCGCUGCCUGGCUGUCGAGUCUCGUUCCUGUGGCUGCGGGGGAAGGCCGAGCUCCCCGACUCCCUGGGUGUCGACCUGCCUGUAAGCAGGGUUCCGGGUCUGGGAGCCUUUGUGCUCAGCUGGCAGCCUGCGUGGGGUGACCGGCCCCGUUAGCGGGGUGCGGGUCGGGGUGCCCCUGAAUCGGAGAGAAGGAGCCUCCGUGGGCCUUUGGGACCAGGGCUGCCCUGUAAGUCAGGGCCCGGCCAGUGCCCUGCAGUCCCGGGCGCUUUGCGGUCCAGGCAGCGGCUCGAGCCCCCUGUAAGCAGGGACGCGGAGCCUCGUUGGCCGCUGCUUUGCAUGCCCAGCUUCGUUUGCCCAGGGUGCCCGCCUCCGAGCCCGGCUCCAGCACCGGCUGGAACUCUGGCCUGCGUCGCUUUGCGGCCGGCGGAGAAGAAAGAAGAGGCUUCGUGUGGAACGGCGAGGCAAGAGUGAGCGAGAAGAGGAGCGGCGUCGGGCUGAAGAGCGAGCGGGCAGGAGAAAGGCGCUCUGGGCAAAGGGACCUCCCUGUCAGCAGGGCGCGGUCACGUAAGAGCAUCGCGGGCACCUUUGGGGUGCCCCGGCUGGCUUUGCGCUGGGCGACCUCCCUGUAACCAGGGCUCGGUCUUUGCUUUUGUUGUCGUCGGCCUUUUGCCGUCGUGCUCCUUUGGCUGCCCGGAGAGAGCGGCGACCCUGUAAGGAGGGUGAGAGCCGCCGUCUCCGCACCCGAGGGGGAAGGGGAGCUGUCUGGACCCCGAGCCCACCCUGUAAGCAGGGGAGGGCCGUUUCCCUGGCCCCGGCGGCUUUCUGCCUGCUGGAGGCCUGCCCAGCGUGACGCCCUGGAGUCAGGGCGUGUCACGGCGUUUGCCCCUUGGCCACCUGUGGAAGCCCCUUGGCAUGUUGAGGCCCCUGUGGCCUCCGUGCAGCCCGGGGGGCAGGUCUGAGGCUCUCCUCUCCCGCUCGGCGGUAGGGUUGGCUCCCCAGACAUUGGCUGCACAGGGCUCGCUCUCCUUUCUAGGAAGUUCUGUUUGUCCCUGUUUGCGUGCGUCCGUGUCUGCGUCUGUGUGAGUGAGCAGCGAAUGAGCUUCUUGUUUAGGCCCCUGUUAAUAUUGCUGCAGCGUACUUAGCUUGAGCUUCCCAGGAGGGAAAGGGCGGCUCUGUGCAGCAACAGGGGGGUCCCCUCUGAGCCCGCGAGCGGAGGGAGAGUCCGGGCUUGCCCCUCCUUUCUAUAAGGACGGAGCGAAGCCGCUUAGCGGUAGAGCGGGCAACGCGACCUGCCUGUAGUCAGGGCCUGGGUCUCUGUGCCUGCGUGGCCGCCUGUCCUGCUGGUGGCCUGCUCGGCGUGACAGCCCUGUACUCGGGGCGUGUGUCACGAGCCGUGGAGCCCUCUUGUCCCCAGGAGCAGCCCGACCUCCCCGUAAGCGGGGCUGGGGGGGCCGCUCUAGCCAGCCCACAGGAACGAGCCCUCCCUCGCCCUUUAGCGGGCGCAGGUUGAGGAAGCGCUGCGCCGGAGGGCGCAGUCCCGCCUUUGGCGCUGCUUUUGGCUGGGGCGACCUCCCCGCGGUUGGGGUCGAGGUCGCUCCCUGGGCUCCUGAAGACGUGGCGUUGUGCUGCAGCCAGGCCGGCCGGCCCGUAAGUCGGGCGCAGGUGGGAGCCUCGGGCUCCGCGGGGCUUGUUGGGAGAGCCGAGCCGAGGGGGGCCGCCCUGUAAGCAGGGCUGUGCGUGUCCCCCGCGCUCGGCGGGAGGUGCUUGGAGGGACCCCCUGUAAUCAGGCGGGUAUCUCCUGGCCCCGGCCUUUCAGAGGCGCGGGGCCAGGAUGCGUGGGGGCCGGGCGUGCGCCCCCCCCGUCCUCGGGGCUGGGGCCGCGGCCCCCCGGCCUUUGGCCGUGAAGCUCCGCUGCCUGGCUGUCGAGUCUCGUUCCUGUGGCUGCGGGGGAAGGCCGAGCUCCCCGACUCCCUGGGUGUCGACCUGCCUGUAAGCAGGGUUCCGGGUCUGGGAGCCUUUGUGCUCAGCUGGCAGCCUGCGUGGGGUGACCGGCCCCGUUAGCAGGGUGCGGGUCGGGGUGCCCCUGAAUCGGAGAGAAGGAGCCUCCGUGGGCCUUUGGGACCAGGGCUGCCCUGUAAGUCAGGGCCCGGCCAGUGCCCUGCAGUCCCGGGCGCUUUGCGGUCCAGGCAGCGGCUCGAGCCCCCUGUAAGCAGGGACGCGGAGCCUCGUUGGCCGCUGCUUUGCAUGCCCAGCUUCGUUUGCCCAGGGUGCCCGCCUCCGAGCCCGGCUCCAGCACCGGCUGGAACUCUGGCCUGCGUCGCUUUGCGGCCGGCGGAGAAGAAAGAAGAGGCUUCGUGUGGAACGGCGAGGCAAGAGUGAGCGAGAAGAGGAGCGGCGUCGGGCUGAAGAGCGAGCGGGCAGGAGAAAGGCGCUCUGGGCAAAGGGACCUCCCUGUCAGCAGGGCGCGGUCACGUAAGAGCAUCGCGGGCACCUUUGGGGUGCCCCGGCUGGCUUUGCGCUGGGCGACCUCCCUGUAACCAGGGCUCGGUCUUUGCUUUUGUUGUCGUCGGCCUUUUGCCGUCGUGCUCCUUUGGCUGCCCGGAGAGAGCGGCGACCCUGUAAGGAGGGUGAGAGCCGCCGUCUCCGCACCCGAGGGGGAAGGGGAGCUGUCUGGACCCCGAGCCCACCCUGUAAGCAGGGGAGGGCCGUUUCCCUGGCCCCGGCGGCUUUCUGCCUGCUGGAGGCCUGCCCAGCGUGACGCCCUGGAGUCAGGGCGUGUCACGGCGUUUGCCCCUUGGCCACCUGUGGAAGCCCCUUGGCAUGUUGAGGCCCCUGUGGCCUCCGUGCAGCCCGGGGGGCAGGUCUGAGGCUCUCCUCUCCCGCUCGGCGGUAGGGUUGGCUCCCCAGACAUUGGCUGCACAGGGCUCGCUCUCCUUUCUAGGAAGUUCUGUUUGUCCCUGUUUGCGUGCGUCCGUGUCUGCGUCUGUGUGAGUGAGCAGCGAAUGAGCUUCUUGUUUAGGCCCCUGUUAAUAUUGCUGCAGCGUACUUAGCUUGAGCUUCCCAGGAGGGAAAGGGCGGCUCUGUGCAGCAACAGGGGGGUCCCCUCUGAGCCCGCGAGCGGAGGGAGAGUCCGGGCUUGCCCCUCCUUUCUAUAAGGACGGAGCGAAGCCGCUUAGCGGUAGAGCGGGCAACGCGACCUGCCUGUAGUCAGGGCCUGGGUCUCUGUGCCUGCGUGGCCGCCUGUCCUGCUGGUGGCCUGCUCGGCGUGACAGCCCUGUACUCGGGGCGUGUGUCACGAGCCGUGGAGCCCUCUUGUCCCCAGGAGCAGCCCGACCUCCCCGUAAGCGGGGCUGGGGGGGCCGCUCUAGCCAGCCCACAGGAACGAGCCCUCCCUCGCCCUUUAGCGGGCGCAGGUUGAGGAAGCGCUGCGCCGGAGGGCGCAGUCCCGCCUUUGGCGCUGCUUUUGGCUGGGGCGACCUCCCCGCGGUUGGGGUCGAGGUCGCUCCCUGGGCUCCUGAAGACGUGGCGUUGUGCUGCAGCCAGGCCGGCCGGCCCGUAAGUCGGGCGCAGGUGGGAGCCUCGGGCUCCGCGGGGCUUGUUGGGAGAGCCGAGCCGAGGGGGGCCGCCCUGUAAGCAGGGCUGUGCGUGUCCCCCGCGCUCGGCGGGAGGUGCUUGGAGGGACCCCCUGUAAUCAGGCGGGUAUCUCCUGGCCCCGGCCUUUCAGAGGCGCGGGGCCAGGAUGCGUGGGGGCCGGGCGUGCGCCCCCCCCGUCCUCGGGGCUGGGGCCGCGGCCCCCCGGCCUUUGGCCGUGAAGCUCCGCUGCCUGGCUGUCGAGUCUCGUUCCUGUGGCUGCGGGGGAAGGCCGAGCUCCCCGACUCCCUGGGUGUCGACCUGCCUGUAAGCAGGGUUCCGGGUCUGGGAGCCUUUGUGCUCAGCUGGCAGCCUGCGUGGGGUGACCGGCCCCGUUAGCGGGGUGCGGGUCGGGGUGCCCCUGAAUCGGAGAGAAGGAGCCUCCGUGGGCCUUUGGGACCAGGGCUGCCCUGUAAGUCAGGGCCCGGCCAGUGCCCUGCAGUCCCGGGCGCUUUGCGGUCCAGGCAGCGGCUCGAGCCCCCUGUAAGCAGGGACGCGGAGCCUCGUUGGCCGCUGCUUUGCAUGCCCAGCUUCGUUUGCCCAGGGUGCCCGCCUCCGAGCCCGGCUCCAGCACCGGCUGGAACUCUGGCCUGCGUCGCUUUGCGGCCGGCGGAGAAGAAAGAAGAGGCUUCGUGUGGAACGGCGAGGCAAGAGUGAGCGAGAAGAGGAGCGGCGUCGGGCUGAAGAGCGAGCGGGCAGGAGAAAGGCGCUCUGGGCAAAGGGACCUCCCUGUCAGCAGGGCGCGGUCACGUAAGAGCAUCGCGGGCACCUUUGGGGUGCCCCGGCUGGCUUUGCGCUGGGCGACCUCCCUGUAACCAGGGCUCGGUCUUUGCUUUUGUUGUCGUCGGCCUUUUGCCGUCGUGCUCCUUUGGCUGCCCGGAGAGAGCGGCGACCCUGUAAGGAGGGUGAGAGCCGCCGUCUCCGCACCCGAGGGGGAAGGGGAGCUGUCUGGACCCCGAGCCCACCCUGUAAGCAGGGGAGGGCCGUUUCCCUGGCCCCGGCGGCUUUCUGCCUGCUGGAGGCCUGCCCAGCGUGACGCCCUGGAGUCAGGGCGUGUCACGGCGUUUGCCCCUUGGCCACCUGUGGAAGCCCCUUGGCAUGUUGAGGCCCCUGUGGCCUCCGUGCAGCCCGGGGGGCAGGUCUGAGGCUCUCCUCUCCCGCUCGGCGGUAGGGUUGGCUCCCCAGACAUUGGCUGCACAGGGCUCGCUCUCCUUUCUAGGAAGUUCUGUUUGUCCCUGUUUGCGUGCGUCCGUGUCUGCGUCUGUGUGAGUGAGCAGCGAAUGAGCUUCUUGUUUAGGCCCCUGUUAAUAUUGCUGCAGCGUACUUAGCUUGAGCUUCCCAGGAGGGAAAGGGCGGCUCUGUGCAGCAACAGGGGGGUCCCCUCUGAGCCCGCGAGCGGAGGGAGAGUCCGGGCUUGCCCCUCCUUUCUAUAAGGACGGAGCGAAGCCGCUUAGCGGUAGAGCGGGCAACGCGACCUGCCUGUAGUCAGGGCCUGGGUCUCUGUGCCUGCGUGGCCGCCUGUCCUGCUGGUGGCCUGCUCGGCGUGACAGCCCUGUACUCGGGGCGUGUGUCACGAGCCGUGGAGCCCUCUUGUCCCCAGGAGCAGCCCGACCUCCCCGUAAGCGGGGCUGGGGGGGCCGCUCUAGCCAGCCCACAGGAACGAGCCCUCCCUCGCCCUUUAGCGGGCGCAGGUUGAGGAAGCGCUGCGCCGGAGGGCGCAGUCCCGCCUUUGGCGCUGCUUUUGGCUGGGGCGACCUCCCCGCGGUUGGGGUCGAGGUCGCUCCCUGGGCUCCUGAAGACGUGGCGUUGUGCUGCAGCCAGGCCGGCCGGCCCGUAAGUCGGGCGCAGGUGGGAGCCUCGGGCUCCGCGGGGCUUGUUGGGAGAGCCGAGCCGAGGGGGGCCGCCCUGUAAGCAGGGCUGUGCGUGUCCCCCGCGCUCGGCGGGAGGUGCUUGGAGGGACCCCCUGUAAUCAGGCGGGUAUCUCCUGGCCCCGGCCUUUCAGAGGCGCGGGGCCAGGAUGCGUGGGGGCCGGGCGUGCGCCCCCCCCGUCCUCGGGGCUGGGGCCGCGGCCCCCCGGCCUUUGGCCGUGAAGCUCCGCUGCCUGGCUGUCGAGUCUCGUUCCUGUGGCUGCGGGGGAAGGCCGAGCUCCCCGACUCCCUGGGUGUCGACCUGCCUGUAAGCAGGGUUCCGGGUCUGGGAGCCUUUGUGCUCAGCUGGCAGCCUGCGUGGGGUGACCGGCCCCGUUAGCGGGGUGCGGGUCGGGGUGCCCCUGAAUCGGAGAGAAGGAGCCUCCGUGGGCCUUUGGGACCAGGGCUGCCCUGUAAGUCAGGGCCCGGCCAGUGCCCUGCAGUCCCGGGCGCUUUGCGGUCCAGGCAGCGGCUCGAGCCCCCUGUAAGCAGGGACGCGGAGCCUCGUUGGCCGCUGCUUUGCAUGCCCAGCUUCGUUUGCCCAGGGUGCCCGCCUCCGAGCCCGGCUCCAGCACCGGCUGGAACUCUGGCCUGCGUCGCUUUGCGGCCGGCGGAGAAGAAAGAAGAGGCUUCGUGUGGAACGGCGAGGCAAGAGUGAGCGAGAAGAGGAGCGGCGUCGGGCUGAAGAGCGAGCGGGCAGGAGAAAGGCGCUCUGGGCAAAGGGACCUCCCUGUCAGCAGGGCGCGGUCACGUAAGAGCAUCGCGGGCACCUUUGGGGUGCCCCGGCUGGCUUUGCGCUGGGCGACCUCCCUGUAACCAGGGCUCGGUCUUUGCUUUUGUUGUCGUCGGCCUUUUGCCGUCGUGCUCCUUUGGCUGCCCGGAGAGAGCGGCGACCCUGUAAGGAGGGUGAGAGCCGCCGUCUCCGCACCCGAGGGGGAAGGGGAGCUGUCUGGACCCCGAGCCCACCCUGUAAGCAGGGGAGGGCCGUUUCCCUGGCCCCGGCGGCUUUCUGCCUGCUGGAGGCCUGCCCAGCGUGACGCCCUGGAGUCAGGGCGUGUCACGGCGUUUGCCCCUUGGCCACCUGUGGAAGCCCCUUGGCAUGUUGAGGCCCCUGUGGCCUCCGUGCAGCCCGGGGGGCAGGUCUGAGGCUCUCCUCUCCCGCUCGGCGGUAGGGUUGGCUCCCCAGACAUUGGCUGCACAGGGCUCGCUCUCCUUUCUAGGAAGUUCUGUUUGUCCCUGUUUGCGUGCGUCCGUGUCUGCGUCUGUGUGAGUGAGCAGCGAAUGAGCUUCUUGUUUAGGCCCCUGUUAAUAUUGCUGCAGCGUACUUAGCUUGAGCUUCCCAGGAGGGAAAGGGCGGCUCUGUGCAGCAACAGGGGGGUCCCCUCUGAGCCCGCGAGCGGAGGGAGAGUCCGGGCUUGCCCCUCCUUUCUAUAAGGACGGAGCGAAGCCGCUUAGCGGUAGAGCGGGCAACGCGACCUGCCUGUAGUCAGGGCCUGGGUCUCUGUGCCUGCGUGGCCGCCUGUCCUGCUGGUGGCCUGCUCGGCGUGACAGCCCUGUACUCGGGGCGUGUGUCACGAGCCGUGGAGCCCUCUUGUCCCCAGGAGCAGCCCGACCUCCCCGUAAGCGGGGCUGGGGGGGCCGCUCUAGCCAGCCCACAGGAACGAGCCCUCCCUCGCCCUUUAGCGGGCGCAGGUUGAGGAAGCGCUGCGCCGGAGGGCGCAGUCCCGCCUUUGGCGCUGCUUUUGGCUGGGGCGACCUCCCCGCGGUUGGGGUCGAGGUCGCUCCCUGGGCUCCUGAAGACGUGGCGUUGUGCUGCAGCCAGGCCGGCCGGCCCGUAAGUCGGGCGCAGGUGGGAGCCUCGGGCUCCGCGGGGCUUGUUGGGAGAGCCGAGCCGAGGGGGGCCGCCCUGUAAGCAGGGCUGUGCGUGUCCCCCGCGCUCGGCGGGAGGUGCUUGGAGGGACCCCCUGUAAUCAGGCGGGUAUCUCCUGGCCCCGGCCUUUCAGAGGCGCGGGGCCAGGAUGCGUGGGGGCCGGGCGUGCGCCCCCCCCGUCCUCGGGGCUGGGGCCGCGGCCCCCCGGCCUUUGGCCGUGAAGCUCCGCUGCCUGGCUGUCGAGUCUCGUUCCUGUGGCUGCGGGGGAAGGCCGAGCUCCCCGACUCCCUGGGUGUCGACCUGCCUGUAAGCAGGGUUCCGGGUCUGGGAGCCUUUGUGCUCAGCUGGCAGCCUGCGUGGGGUGACCGGCCCCGUUAGCGGGGUGCGGGUCGGGGUGCCCCUGAAUCGGAGAGAAGGAGCCUCCGUGGGCCUUUGGGACCAGGGCUGCCCUGUAAGUCAGGGCCCGGCCAGUGCCCUGCAGUCCCGGGCGCUUUGCGGUCCAGGCAGCGGCUCGAGCCCCCUGUAAGCAGGGACGCGGAGCCUCGUUGGCCGCUGCUUUGCAUGCCCAGCUUCGUUUGCCCAGGGUGCCCGCCUCCGAGCCCGGCUCCAGCACCGGCUGGAACUCUGGCCUGCGUCGCUUUGCGGCCGGCGGAGAAGAAAGAAGAGGCUUCGUGUGGAACGGCGAGGCAAGAGUGAGCGAGAAGAGGAGCGGCGUCGGGCUGAAGAGCGAGCGGGCAGGAGAAAGGCGCUCUGGGCAAAGGGACCUCCCUGUCAGCAGGGCGCGGUCACGUAAGAGCAUCGCGGGCACCUUUGGGGUGCCCCGGCUGGCUUUGCGCUGGGCGACCUCCCUGUAACCAGGGCUCGGUCUUUGCUUUUGUUGUCGUCGGCCUUUUGCCGUCGUGCUCCUUUGGCUGCCCGGAGAGAGCGGCGACCCUGUAAGGAGGGUGAGAGCCGCCGUCUCCGCACCCGAGGGGGAAGGGGAGCUGUCUGGACCCCGAGCCCACCCUGUAAGCAGGGGAGGGCCGUUUCCCUGGCCCCGGCGGCUUUCUGCCUGCUGGAGGCCUGCCCAGCGUGACGCCCUGGAGUCAGGGCGUGUCACGGCGUUUGCCCCUUGGCCACCUGUGGAAGCCCCUUGGCAUGUUGAGGCCCCUGUGGCCUCCGUGCAGCCCGGGGGGCAGGUCUGAGGCUCUCCUCUCCCGCUCGGCGGUAGGGUUGGCUCCCCAGACAUUGGCUGCACAGGGCUCGCUCUCCUUUCUAGGAAGUUCUGUUUGUCCCUGUUUGCGUGCGUCCGUGUCUGCGUCUGUGUGAGUGAGCAGCGAAUGAGCUUCUUGUUUAGGCCCCUGUUAAUAUUGCUGCAGCGUACUUAGCUUGAGCUUCCCAGGAGGGAAAGGGCGGCUCUGUGCAGCAACAGGGGGGUCCCCUCUGAGCCCGCGAGCGGAGGGAGAGUCCGGGCUUGCCCCUCCUUUCUAUAAGGACGGAGCGAAGCCGCUUAGCGGUAGAGCGGGCAACGCGACCUGCCUGUAGUCAGGGCCUGGGUCUCUGUGCCUGCGUGGCCGCCUGUCCUGCUGGUGGCCUGCUCGGCGUGACAGCCCUGUACUCGGGGCGUGUGUCACGAGCCGUGGAGCCCUCUUGUCCCCAGGAGCAGCCCGACCUCCCCGUAAGCGGGGCUGGGGGGGCCGCUCUAGCCAGCCCACAGGAACGAGCCCUCCCUCGCCCUUUAGCGGGCGCAGGUUGAGGAAGCGCUGCGCCGGAGGGCGCAGUCCCGCCUUUGGCGCUGCUUUUGGCUGGGGCGACCUCCCCGCGGUUGGGGUCGAGGUCGCUCCCUGGGCUCCUGAAGACGUGGCGUUGUGCUGCAGCCAGGCCGGCCGGCCCGUAAGUCGGGCGCAGGUGGGAGCCUCGGGCUCCGCGGGGCUUGUUGGGAGAGCCGAGCCGAGGGGGGCCGCCCUGUAAGCAGGGCUGUGCGUGUCCCCCGCGCUCGGCGGGAGGUGCUUGGAGGGACCCCCUGUAAUCAGGCGGGUAUCUCCUGGCCCCGGCCUUUCAGAGGCGCGGGGCCAGGAUGCGUGGGGGCCGGGCGUGCGCCCCCCCCGUCCUCGGGGCUGGGGCCGCGGCCCCCCGGCCUUUGGCCGUGAAGCUCCGCUGCCUGGCUGUCGAGUCUCGUUCCUGUGGCUGCGGGGGAAGGCCGAGCUCCCCGACUCCCUGGGUGUCGACCUGCCUGUAAGCAGGGUUCCGGGUCUGGGAGCCUUUGUGCUCAGCUGGCAGCCUGCGUGGGGUGACCGGCCCCGUUAGCGGGGUGCGGGUCGGGGUGCCCCUGAAUCGGAGAGAAGGAGCCUCCGUGGGCCUUUGGGACCAGGGCUGCCCUGUAAGUCAGGGCCCGGCCAGUGCCCUGCAGUCCCGGGCGCUUUGCGGUCCAGGCAGCGGCUCGAGCCCCCUGUAAGCAGGGACGCGGAGCCUCGUUGGCCGCUGCUUUGCAUGCCCAGCUUCGUUUGCCCAGGGUGCCCGCCUCCGAGCCCGGCUCCAGCACCGGCUGGAACUCUGGCCUGCGUCGCUUUGCGGCCGGCGGAGAAGAAAGAAGAGGCUUCGUGUGGAACGGCGAGGCAAGAGUGAGCGAGAAGAGGAGCGGCGUCGGGCUGAAGAGCGAGCGGGCAGGAGAAAGGCGCUCUGGGCAAAGGGACCUCCCUGUCAGCAGGGCGCGGUCACGUAAGAGCAUCGCGGGCACCUUUGGGGUGCCCCGGCUGGCUUUGCGCUGGGCGACCUCCCUGUAACCAGGGCUCGGUCUUUGCUUUUGUUGUCGUCGGCCUUUUGCCGUCGUGCUCCUUUGGCUGCCCGGAGAGAGCGGCGACCCUGUAAGGAGGGUGAGAGCCGCCGUCUCCGCACCCGAGGGGGAAGGGGAGCUGUCUGGACCCCGAGCCCACCCUGUAAGCAGGGGAGGGCCGUUUCCCUGGCCCCGGCGGCUUUCUGCCUGCUGGAGGCCUGCCCAGCGUGACGCCCUGGAGUCAGGGCGUGUCACGGCGUUUGCCCCUUGGCCACCUGUGGAAGCCCCUUGGCAUGUUGAGGCCCCUGUGGCCUCCGUGCAGCCCGGGGGGCAGGUCUGAGGCUCUCCUCUCCCGCUCGGCGGUAGGGUUGGCUCCCCAGACAUUGGCUGCACAGGGCUCGCUCUCCUUUCUAGGAAGUUCUGUUUGUCCCUGUUUGCGUGCGUCCGUGUCUGCGUCUGUGUGAGUGAGCAGCGAAUGAGCUUCUUGUUUAGGCCCCUGUUAAUAUUGCUGCAGCGUACUUAGCUUGAGCUUCCCAGGAGGGAAAGGGCGGCUCUGUGCAGCAACAGGGGGGUCCCCUCUGAGCCCGCGAGCGGAGGGAGAGUCCGGGCUUGCCCCUCCUUUCUAUAAGGACGGAGCGAAGCCGCUUAGCGGUAGAGCGGGCAACGCGACCUGCCUGUAGUCAGGGCCUGGGUCUCUGUGCCUGCGUGGCCGCCUGUCCUGCUGGUGGCCUGCUCGGCGUGACAGCCCUGUACUCGGGGCGUGUGUCACGAGCCGUGGAGCCCUCUUGUCCCCAGGAGCAGCCCGACCUCCCCGUAAGCGGGGCUGGGGGGGCCGCUCUAGCCAGCCCACAGGAACGAGCCCUCCCUCGCCCUUUAGCGGGCGCAGGUUGAGGAAGCGCUGCGCCGGAGGGCGCAGUCCCGCCUUUGGCGCUGCUUUUGGCUGGGGCGACCUCCCCGCGGUUGGGGUCGAGGUCGCUCCCUGGGCUCCUGAAGACGUGGCGUUGUGCUGCAGCCAGGCCGGCCGGCCCGUAAGUCGGGCGCAGGUGGGAGCCUCGGGCUCCGCGGGGCUUGUUGGGAGAGCCGAGCCGAGGGGGGCCGCCCUGUAAGCAGGGCUGUGCGUGUCCCCCGCGCUCGGCGGGAGGUGCUUGGAGGGACCCCCUGUAAUCAGGCGGGUAUCUCCUGGCCCCGGCCUUUCAGAGGCGCGGGGCCAGGAUGCGUGGGGGCCGGGCGUGCGCCCCCCCCGUCCUCGGGGCUGGGGCCGCGGCCCCCCGGCCUUUGGCCGUGAAGCUCCGCUGCCUGGCUGUCGAGUCUCGUUCCUGUGGCUGCGGGGGAAGGCCGAGCUCCCCGACUCCCUGGGUGUCGACCUGCCUGUAAGCAGGGUUCCGGGUCUGGGAGCCUUUGUGCUCAGCUGGCAGCCUGCGUGGGGUGACCGGCCCCGUUAGCGGGGUGCGGGUCGGGGUGCCCCUGAAUCGGAGAGAAGGAGCCUCCGUGGGCCUUUGGGACCAGGGCUGCCCUGUAAGUCAGGGCCCGGCCAGUGCCCUGCAGUCCCGGGCGCUUUGCGGUCCAGGCAGCGGCUCGAGCCCCCUGUAAGCAGGGACGCGGAGCCUCGUUGGCCGCUGCUUUGCAUGCCCAGCUUCGUUUGCCCAGGGUGCCCGCCUCCGAGCCCGGCUCCAGCACCGGCUGGAACUCUGGCCUGCGUCGCUUUGCGGCCGGCGGAGAAGAAAGAAGAGGCUUCGUGUGGAACGGCGAGGCAAGAGUGAGCGAGAAGAGGAGCGGCGUCGGGCUGAAGAGCGAGCGGGCAGGAGAAAGGCGCUCUGGGCAAAGGGACCUCCCUGUCAGCAGGGCGCGGUCACGUAAGAGCAUCGCGGGCACCUUUGGGGUGCCCCGGCUGGCUUUGCGCUGGGCGACCUCCCUGUAACCAGGGCUCGGUCUUUGCUUUUGUUGUCGUCGGCCUUUUGCCGUCGUGCUCCUUUGGCUGCCCGGAGAGAGCGGCGACCCUGUAAGGAGGGUGAGAGCCGCCGUCUCCGCACCCGAGGGGGAAGGGGAGCUGUCUGGACCCCGAGCCCACCCUGUAAGCAGGGGAGGGCCGUUUCCCUGGCCCCGGCGGCUUUCUGCCUGCUGGAGGCCUGCCCAGCGUGACGCCCUGGAGUCAGGGCGUGUCACGGCGUUUGCCCCUUGGCCACCUGUGGAAGCCCCUUGGCAUGUUGAGGCCCCUGUGGCCUCCGUGCAGCCCGGGGGGCAGGUCUGAGGCUCUCCUCUCCCGCUCGGCGGUAGGGUUGGCUCCCCAGACAUUGGCUGCACAGGGCUCGCUCUCCUUUCUAGGAAGUUCUGUUUGUCCCUGUUUGCGUGCGUCCGUGUCUGCGUCUGUGUGAGUGAGCAGCGAAUGAGCUUCUUGUUUAGGCCCCUGUUAAUAUUGCUGCAGCGUACUUAGCUUGAGCUUCCCAGGAGGGAAAGGGCGGCUCUGUGCAGCAACAGGGGGGUCCCCUCUGAGCCCGCGAGCGGAGGGAGAGUCCGGGCUUGCCCCUCCUUUCUAUAAGGACGGAGCGAAGCCGCUUAGCGGUAGAGCGGGCAACGCGACCUGCCUGUAGUCAGGGCCUGGGUCUCUGUGCCUGCGUGGCCGCCUGUCCUGCUGGUGGCCUGCUCGGCGUGACAGCCCUGUACUCGGGGCGUGUGUCACGAGCCGUGGAGCCCUCUUGUCCCCAGGAGCAGCCCGACCUCCCCGUAAGCGGGGCUGGGGGGGCCGCUCUAGCCAGCCCACAGGAACGAGCCCUCCCUCGCCCUUUAGCGGGCGCAGGUUGAGGAAGCGCUGCGCCGGAGGGCGCAGUCCCGCCUUUGGCGCUGCUUUUGGCUGGGGCGACCUCCCCGCGGUUGGGGUCGAGGUCGCUCCCUGGGCUCCUGAAGACGUGGCGUUGUGCUGCAGCCAGGCCGGCCGGCCCGUAAGUCGGGCGCAGGUGGGAGCCUCGGGCUCCGCGGGGCUUGUUGGGAGAGCCGAGCCGAGGGGGGCCGCCCUGUAAGCAGGGCUGUGCGUGUCCCCCGCGCUCGGCGGGAGGUGCUUGGAGGGACCCCCUGUAAUCAGGCGGGUAUCUCCUGGCCCCGGCCUUUCAGAGGCGCGGGGCCAGGAUGCGUGGGGGCCGGGCGUGCGCCCCCCCCGUCCUCGGGGCUGGGGCCGCGGCCCCCCGGCCUUUGGCCGUGAAGCUCCGCUGCCUGGCUGUCGAGUCUCGUUCCUGUGGCUGCGGGGGAAGGCCGAGCUCCCCGACUCCCUGGGUGUCGACCUGCCUGUAAGCAGGGUUCCGGGUCUGGGAGCCUUUGUGCUCAGCUGGCAGCCUGCGUGGGGUGACCGGCCCCGUUAGCGGGGUGCGGGUCGGGGUGCCCCUGAAUCGGAGAGAAGGAGCCUCCGUGGGCCUUUGGGACCAGGGCUGCCCUGUAAGUCAGGGCCCGGCCAGUGCCCUGCAGUCCCGGGCGCUUUGCGGUCCAGGCAGCGGCUCGAGCCCCCUGUAAGCAGGGACGCGGAGCCUCGUUGGCCGCUGCUUUGCAUGCCCAGCUUCGUUUGCCCAGGGUGCCCGCCUCCGAGCCCGGCUCCAGCACCGGCUGGAACUCUGGCCUGCGUCGCUUUGCGGCCGGCGGAGAAGAAAGAAGAGGCUUCGUGUGGAACGGCGAGGCAAGAGUGAGCGAGAAGAGGAGCGGCGUCGGGCUGAAGAGCGAGCGGGCAGGAGAAAGGCGCUCUGGGCAAAGGGACCUCCCUGUCAGCAGGGCGCGGUCACGUAAGAGCAUCGCGGGCACCUUUGGGGUGCCCCGGCUGGCUUUGCGCUGGGCGACCUCCCUGUAACCAGGGCUCGGUCUUUGCUUUUGUUGUCGUCGGCCUUUUGCCGUCGUGCUCCUUUGGCUGCCCGGAGAGAGCGGCGACCCUGUAAGGAGGGUGAGAGCCGCCGUCUCCGCACCCGAGGGGGAAGGGGAGCUGUCUGGACCCCGAGCCCACCCUGUAAGCAGGGGAGGGCCGUUUCCCUGGCCCCGGCGGCUUUCUGCCUGCUGGAGGCCUGCCCAGCGUGACGCCCUGGAGUCAGGGCGUGUCACGGCGUUUGCCCCUUGGCCACCUGUGGAAGCCCCUUGGCAUGUUGAGGCCCCUGUGGCCUCCGUGCAGCCCGGGGGGCAGGUCUGAGGCUCUCCUCUCCCGCUCGGCGGUAGGGUUGGCUCCCCAGACAUUGGCUGCACAGGGCUCGCUCUCCUUUCUAGGAAGUUCUGUUUGUCCCUGUUUGCGUGCGUCCGUGUCUGCGUCUGUGUGAGUGAGCAGCGAAUGAGCUUCUUGUUUAGGCCCCUGUUAAUAUUGCUGCAGCGUACUUAGCUUGAGCUUCCCAGGAGGGAAAGGGCGGCUCUGUGCAGCAACAGGGGGGUCCCCUCUGAGCCCGCGAGCGGAGGGAGAGUCCGGGCUUGCCCCUCCUUUCUAUAAGGACGGAGCGAAGCCGCUUAGCGGUAGAGCGGGCAACGCGACCUGCCUGUAGUCAGGGCCUGGGUCUCUGUGCCUGCGUGGCCGCCUGUCCUGCUGGUGGCCUGCUCGGCGUGACAGCCCUGUACUCGGGGCGUGUGUCACGAGCCGUGGAGCCCUCUUGUCCCCAGGAGCAGCCCGACCUCCCCGUAAGCGGGGCUGGGGGGGCCGCUCUAGCCAGCCCACAGGAACGAGCCCUCCCUCGCCCUUUAGCGGGCGCAGGUUGAGGAAGCGCUGCGCCGGAGGGCGCAGUCCCGCCUUUGGCGCUGCUUUUGGCUGGGGCGACCUCCCCGCGGUUGGGGUCGAGGUCGCUCCCUGGGCUCCUGAAGACGUGGCGUUGUGCUGCAGCCAGGCCGGCCGGCCCGUAAGUCGGGCGCAGGUGGGAGCCUCGGGCUCCGCGGGGCUUGUUGGGAGAGCCGAGCCGAGGGGGGCCGCCCUGUAAGCAGGGCUGUGCGUGUCCCCCGCGCUCGGCGGGAGGUGCUUGGAGGGACCCCCUGUAAUCAGGCGGGUAUCUCCUGGCCCCGGCCUUUCAGAGGCGCGGGGCCAGGAUGCGUGGGGGCCGGGCGUGCGCCCCCCCCCGUCCUCGGGGCUGGGGCCGCGGCCCCCCGGCCUUUGGCCGUGAAGCUCCGCUGCCUGGCUGUCGAGUCUCGUUCCUGUGGCUGCGGGGGAAGGCCGAGCUCCCCGACUCCCUGGGUGUCGACCUGCCUGUAAGCAGGGUUCCGGGUCUGGGAGCCUUUGUGCUCAGCUGGCAGCCUGCGUGGGGUGACCGGCCCCGUUAGCGGGGUGCGGGUCGGGGUGCCCCUGAAUCGGAGAGAAGGAGCCUCCGUGGGCCUUUGGGACCAGGGCUGCCCUGUAAGUCAGGGCCCGGCCAGUGCCCUGCAGUCCCGGGCACUUUGCGGUCCAGGCAGCGGCUCGAGCCCCCUGUAAGCAGGGACGCGGAGCCUCGUUGGCCGCUGCUUUGCAUGCCCAGCUUCGUUUGCCCAGGGUGCCCGCCUCCGAGCCCGGCUCCAGCACCGGCUGGAACUCUGGCCUGCGUCGCUUUGCAUCUUCAAAGGGGCG
Grus americana (Whooping crane) is the source of this 19186-nucleotide long non-coding RNA. RefSeq lists it as uncharacterized. The record is from RefSeq and is a predicted model, not a curated record. The transcript is spliced from 13 exons. Lineage: Eukaryota; Metazoa; Chordata; Aves; Gruiformes; Gruidae.